Molecule: long non-coding RNA, 290 nt
Organism: Pieris brassicae (large cabbage white)
Lineage: Eukaryota; Metazoa; Arthropoda; Insecta; Lepidoptera; Pieridae
Exons: 2
Source: RefSeq, a predicted model, not a curated record
UCAUUCAGUUUACGACCAUUGUUAGGUUCACUUGUUUUUUAUUAAGCUAUUGUCGUAAUUUAUUUUAAAUUUUUAAAUGUAUAGUUUAUACUUAUAUACCUAUAAGUUCUUUAUUUUGAUUUGGUGAUAUGUUUAGAUUGUAGCGUUUUAAUAGCGUAACAAUGUGCAGAAAAUGCUGGAGUUAGCGAACCAGUCGCAGCAGGGACAACCAACGGCUUACACAUCGCGAAAAAGCAAUGGUCCGUAUUUAAAAAAAACCAACAAAGUUUAAUAAAUACUUUUUACGUGUC